This 647-nucleotide unclassified non-coding RNA is filed under the name Hevea brasiliensis (rubber tree). The record is from RNAcentral. Lineage: Eukaryota; Viridiplantae; Streptophyta; Magnoliopsida; Malpighiales; Euphorbiaceae.
AGAAACACAAUUAUACUCUCAAACAUUUCAUCUAACUCUAUUACAACAUGUCAUGUAAAAGUUUAAACAACAGCAUAGUAACUACUUACUACUAUACAAGAAAUGAAACACAAACUAUUUUCUCCACAAUAAAAAUUCUUAACCUCUCUAAGUAUUCUGAACAUAACCUAUCACACUGGUAUAGCAUCAACUUUUGACGCAUCUUCACAUCUUAACACAAUGCCCUCAAGGCUAGCAGGAAAUAUGCAUUUCAGCCACUGGCACCCUGUUGUAAAUGCCUCAGGAGGUGGGACAAUCAUAAGCACGUUUUCAUUCCUCUGAACCACUCCAAUCACACUCACUGUGCUUCCUUCUUUUAUAUACCCUUCCUUCAGUCGCAUUAUACGAUCAUCACUUGAAAGGCUUCUUUCUCUCAACCACCUGAUAAAUUCUGGAGAUAACUCACUAUUCAAAGGAUCCACAUCAACAACUACUGACUCGUCUACAUAAGGAGUCACCUUUGCACCAUACCCAGUCUUAACCAAUGCUCUUAACCCUGACUGAAAAUCAGAGAUAUAAAAGUCGACCACAUGCCUUUCUGAAGACCUGACGCCCCAUGUAAAACGCCGGUGAGUAGGAUUUGCAGCUUUUGAAUCCCAUCCUCGAUA